AUUGAACGCUGGCGGCAUGCCUUACACAUGCAAGUCGAACGGCAGCACGGGGGCAACCCUGGUGGCGAGUGGCGGACGGGUGAGUAAUGCAUCGGAACGUGCCCUGAAGUCGGGGGAUAACGCAGCGAAAGCUACGCUAAUACCGCAUAUUCUGUGAGCAGGAAAGCAGGGGAUCGCAAGACCUUGCGCUUUGGGAGCGGCCGAUGUCGGAUUAGCUAGUUGGUGGGGUAAAGGGCCUACCAAGGCGACGAUCCGUAGCGGGUCUGAGAGGAUGAUCCGCCACACCUGGGACUGAGACACGGCCCAGACUCCUACGGGAGGCAGCAGUGGGGAAUUUU
RNAcentral lists this ribosomal RNA (338 nucleotides) under uncultured bacterium. RNAcentral's name for it is "bacterial SSU rRNA". It matches the Rfam family "Bacterial small subunit ribosomal RNA", at positions 29 to 365 of the family's 1533-position model. The record is from RNAcentral.